GAGCUCUGGAAGUAGAGCCAAGAAGGUAAACUGAGGCCUUUUCUGCAAUUAGACAUGGGAUAGGCCCUCUGUGAUGAGAGACGUAGGAAUAUCAGGCUCUUGAGAACAAGCACUUGCAAAUCUUUGAACUGAAAAUUAUGGCUUUAUCUCCAGGAAGCUCUUUGGCUUUUGACUCAAGCAGAGAUUCAGAUGGACUAUAAAUGGUGAUGAAACGUCCCAGGGAACAGAGCUGUAUGUGAAGAGAUUUGUGUGGAAAGGAAGAUUUUAGAAGUUUUUUUCAUCUUUCUUAACAUCCUCCCGAAGCAGCCCAACCUCACACUUCAAAGGAGCAGAGCAGAACUUUUACCUAAGGGAGGCCUUGCCUCUCCCAGCAGGCUUGGUUUCCAUACCAUGGUUUUUCUGGAAAUGUCCUCUUUCCAUACGCUACCUCUGAGUCACGCCUCAUUGAGAGUGAUGAUUAUGAUCUCUGGACGUUCGGAUGCUGCUGAGAAUCGGGAGGAUAUUUUGAGCCGUGGAAUUCGGGCUCUGCCACAUGUUUGGAUUAACAACCAGUUAAACCUUGCUAAGGCAAUAUUUUUCUAUGCAGUUAGUUUUUAUACCAAACAAGGUUUGUAGUAAUUGGAUGCCC
RNAcentral lists this long non-coding RNA (628 nucleotides) under Homo sapiens (human). Its description in RNAcentral is "HSALNT0106692". The record is from RNAcentral. Lineage: Eukaryota; Metazoa; Chordata; Mammalia; Primates; Hominidae.